RNAcentral lists this unclassified non-coding RNA (1246 nucleotides) under Centruroides sculpturatus (bark scorpion). Its description in RNAcentral is "transcription factor A, mitochondrial-like, transcript variant X3". Lineage: Eukaryota; Metazoa; Arthropoda; Arachnida; Scorpiones; Buthidae. The record is from RNAcentral.
UUUUCUACGUUUCCAACGAGUGAUUUAUGACGUUUUACAUACUCGUUUUAAGCUGGCAACACUGAACGAGAUCCAAAUUUAAAUUCGAAUUUAAACAAUAUGGUGGUGUUCGGUUUCGCGGCGAAGAAUACCGUCUUCAGUUUUAGUAGAGUUUUGACCGAAAUUAGAAAUAUUUCUUUCAAGUCUUGGUUUGCUAAUACCAAAGAACCUUGUUUGAAGAAUACUUUGAACGCAAAUCCUUCUCGUCCAAAGAAACCUUUAACGUCUUAUAUGCUGUUUAUUAAAGAGAAGAGAAAUGAAAUGUUCGGUAAUAACUCGAAAGUCAGUGGUAAGGAUCAAAUAAAAAUUUUAAGUGAGAAGUGGAGGUCAUUAAGCGAGGCUGAAAAACAGAUGUACAUCAAAAAGUACCAAGAAAGUGCAAUCGAAUAUACGAAACAGCACGAGGCAUAUAUGAAUUCGUUAACUAAAGAAGAACAUCAAGCACUUGAGGACAAGUUACAAAUGAGGAAAGAAUCCCAAAAACGCCUUAAAUCUGCUCUUCAAAAAUUAGACAAGCCAGUUGGUCCCAGAUCACCUUACAAUUUUUUCAUAGCCGAAAGGGCUUCCAUGACUUUCGGUACUAAAGCAAAUGAAACACUAAAGAAAAUAGGUCAAGAAUGGAAAGACUUACCAGAAGAAAGGAAAGAGUAAUAUCUACUGAAAAUCCAAGCAGGUUUUCAUAUGAAAUAGUGUAAAUAUCCAAAUGCUGGAGUUCUUUGGACUAUAUUUUGGCUCGCAUUUAAUUAUCAGAACUAAGAGUACGUGACUAGACAGAUAUUGAAAUAUUUUUGAGUAGAAGAUGCUGCUUUUCACCUUACUCUAAGCCAGCGAUUUUCAAAAUGGCCACUACGACCUCUUGGUAGAAGACAAUGACUCAAGGGGGAUGAAAAUUCAUUUUCAAACAAAGAAUUAUUUUUUUUGAACAGCCUGCCAUUAAUUAUUUUUAUGUUAAUUAAUCAAGUACUUUAAAAACUUUAAUUUAUGAAACUUUUGGACAAUCAUGUUCUUUGUUUAUAAAAUUAUUGAAAUUUAAUUUUCAGUGUUUUUGACUUGUUUUAUGGAGGUGCUAACAAAAUACAUGUAAAAGUUUGAAAAAAUUCAAAAACAUCACUAAGCCUUUUGUUUCAUGCAGUUUCAAUAUAAUAAAAUUGGUUGAUAUUCAGCAUUCAGCAAAAGUAACAUCCAAAUGAGUAUCUGGCCAAAAAAA